This 835-nucleotide ribosomal RNA is filed under the name Nevesoporus nigrostipitatus. RNAcentral describes it as "partial large subunit ribosomal RNA". It matches the Rfam family "Eukaryotic large subunit ribosomal RNA", at positions 91 to 924 of the family's 3401-position model. The record is from RNAcentral. Lineage: Eukaryota; Fungi; Basidiomycota; Agaricomycetes; Boletales; Boletaceae.
GAGUGAAGCGGGAAAAGCUCAAAUUUUGAAUCUGGCGGUCUGUCGGCCGUCCGAGUUGUAAUCUAGAGAAGUGUCUUCUGCGCUGGCCUGUGUACAAGUCUCCUGGAAGGGAGCAUCAUAGAGGGUGAGAAUCCCGUCUUUGACACAGACUACCAGGGCUAUGUGAUGCGCUCUCGACGAGUCGAGUUGUUUGGGAAUGCAGCUCAAAAUGGGUGGUAAAUUCCAUCUAAAGCUAAAUACAGGCGAGAGACCGAUAGCGAACAAGUACCGUGAGGGAAAGAUGAAAAGAACUUUGGAAAGAGAGUUAAAUAGUACGUGAAAUUGCUGAAAGGGAAACGCUUGAUGUCAGUCACAUCGGGCAGGGAUCAACCUUGCUUCUCGCUGGGUGUACUUCCUGGUCGAUGGGUCAGCAUCAGUUUCGGUCGCCGUAGAAGGGCGAAGGGAAUGUGGCACUCUUCUUGGGUGUGUUAUAGCCUUUGGUCAGAUGCGGUGGUUGGGACUGAGGAACUCGGCACGAUUUCGAUCUGUGCUUAGGAUGCUGGCAUAAUGGCCUUAAGCGACCCGUCUUGAAACACGGACCAAGGAGUCUAACAUGCAUGCGAGUGUUUGGGUGGAAAACCCAGGCGCGGAAUGAAAGUGAAUGUCGAGACCUCUGUCGUGGAGGGCACCGAUGCCCGGUCUAGAGUCUUUGACGACGGAUCUGCGGUAGAGCAUGUAUGUUGGGACCCGAAAGAUGGUGAACUAUGCCUGAAUAGGGUGAAGCCAGAGGAAACUCUGGUGGAGGCUCGUAGCGAUUCUGACGUGCAAAUCGAUCGUCGAAUUUGGGUAUAGGGGC